AUAUGAGGACGACCCAUUUCACCCUCAUACCCGAUGAGAUAUGAAAUUUGAUAAUUUAGCGUUCAUACCGGAUGGGGUGUCGAGAUUUAGUAAUUUGACGCUCAUACCGGACGAGAUAUGGAGACGACCUGUUAAUUAAAAAUGUUAAAGGAAAUGGUUCACGUGUAGUGGGGACAUCCCUAUGAACUCCCAUAGAUACUAAUAGGCUGAUAAAAUAAAAAAUUGUUAUUCCUACCGAUUGCAUAUGAAAUUAUGAUAUAUAUCAUGUAUUGACUCUAUAGGUUGCUUUUGUAAAUCUCGUUACGGUAAGUAGAUGAUAAAUGAUUUUAUUUAUG
RNAcentral lists this long non-coding RNA (335 nucleotides) under Carica papaya (papaya). Its description in RNAcentral is "long non-coding RNA (CPAP_LNC006412)". The record is from RNAcentral. Lineage: Eukaryota; Viridiplantae; Streptophyta; Magnoliopsida; Brassicales; Caricaceae.